GAUGAACGCUGGCGGCGUGCCUAAUACAUGCAAGUCGAGCGAACAGAUAAGGAGCUUGCUCCUUUGACGUUAGCGGCGGACGGGUGAGUAACACGUGGGUAACCUACCUAUAAGACUGGAAUAACUCCGGGAAACCGGGGCUAAUGCCGGAUAACAUUUAGAACCGCAUGGUUCUAAAGUGAAAGAUGGUUUUGCUAUCACUUAUAGAUGGACCCGCGCCGUAUUAGCUAGUUGGUAAGGUAACGGCUUACCAAGGCAACGAUACGUAGCCGACCUGAGAGGGUGAUCGGCCACACUGGAACUGAGACACGGUCCAGACUCCUACGGGAGGCAGCAGUAGGGAAUCUUCCGCAAUGGGCGAAAGCCUGACGGAGCAACGCCGCGUGAGUGAUGAAGGUCUUCGGAUCGUAAAACUCUGUUAUUAGGGAAGAACAAAUGUGUAAGUAACUGUGCGCGUCUUGACGGUACCUAAUCAGAAAGCCACGGCUAACUACGUG
RNAcentral lists this ribosomal RNA (497 nucleotides) under uncultured bacterium. RNAcentral describes it as "partial 16S ribosomal RNA". It matches the Rfam family "Bacterial small subunit ribosomal RNA", at positions 28 to 507 of the family's 1533-position model. The record is from RNAcentral.